CAGGCCUAACACAUGCAAGUCGAACGAAGGCUUCGGCCUUAGUGGCGCACGGGUGCGUAACGCGUGGGAAUCUGCCCCUUGGUUCGGGAUAACAGUUGGAAACGACUGCUAAUACCGGAUGAUGACGUAAGUCCAAAGAUUUAUCGCCAUGGGAUGAGCCCGCGUCUGAUUAGCUAGUUGGUGGGGUAACGGCCUACCAAGGCGACGAUCAGUAGCUGGUCUGAGAGGAUGAUCAGCCACACUGGGACUGAGACACGGCCCAGACUCCUACGGGAGGCAGCAGUGGGGAAUAUUGGACAAUGGGCGCAAGCCUGAUCCAGCCAUGCCGCGUGAGUGAUGAAGGCCUUAGGGUUGUAAAGCUCUUUUGUCCGGGACGAUAAUGACGGUACCGGAAGAAUAAGCCCCGGCUAACUUCGUGCCAGCAGCCGCGGUAAU
Molecule: ribosomal RNA, 435 nt
Filed under: uncultured bacterium
Lineage: Bacteria
Description: bacterial SSU rRNA
Rfam family: Bacterial small subunit ribosomal RNA
Source: RNAcentral